CAAUUUCAAACAUUAAUUAUCAGUACCUAAAUGAGAUUAUGAUUUGGCCGGAAUGGAUUCACUCUCGUUCGCUUCUACAGUUUGCUAAAAGCCAUCAAACAGGUAUGCGUUGGUAUUGGACCAACGCAGGUGUGGCACUGUUGCUCAGUUUAACACAGAGCUCACACGAAGAUGUUCAAGAAAUGGUUGUUGGAGCCGUUUCAGCUUUUACCAUUGCUGAUUAUGAGUAUGUUGGUAUAAAUCUUGCAUUUGCUAGAGUCCUUGCUCACCAAGGUGGUGUCUUGCUCCUUGUGAAUCUCGCGAAAUCUUGGAGGGGCUUCACAUUGAAGCAAUAGUGGUAUUGUUAGGGUUAUGUGGUUGUGUUUUUUAAAGUUUUGACAUUAACUCAUCAGUUAGAUUUUGUAUAUUGUCAUAUGAAAGUAACAUAUUUAAGUAGGUUAUUGUCUUAGUAAAACAAUUAAAUUGACAUCUAUAUAGAUUUAUUGGGCUAACUCUUAUGUCUCAUGUCAUAAUAUUUCUUAUUUUGUGAUGUUUAGGCAAUGAGAAAUGUGUCAUAUUGUCCCGAGGUUAAAAAAGUUGGGGCAGAAGUUGGAGGAAUGGAUAUUCUAGUAAAUUUGGCAAGAUCCACGCACAAUUACCCUAGAGUACCACUGCUUCUUCAAGCUUAAGCCAUCCUUCUAAUAUUUUAUAAGGUUCAAAAGAAUGAAAAUGUUGGCUUCUUUUGCAAUGGCUCAAGCAAGUGCAACAUUUAUAACAACAUAUUCAUAAUCACCAAUUGCAGAAGUUGAAAGUGUUGCAACAUCCAUUUCCUGAAUGUCUUCUUGUGUGCUCUGUGUUAAACUCAGUAAUAGUGCUACACCUUCGUUGGUCAAAUACCAAUGUAUACCUGCUUGAUCGCUUUUAGCAAAUUGUAGAAGCGAACGAGAGAGUAUCAAUUCCGGCCAAAUCAUAAUCUCAUUUAAGUUCUGAUAAUUAAUGUUUGAAUUCCUCCAGUUGGAGAAUAAAAUUUCAAACAUUAACUAUCAGUACCUAAACGAGAUUAUGAUUUGGCCGGAAUGGAUUCACUCUCGUUCGCUUCUAUAGUUUGCUAAAAGCCAUCAAACAGGUAUGCAUUGGUAUUGGACCAACGCAGGUGUAGCACUGUUGCUCAGUUUAACACAGAGCUCACAGGAAGAUGUUCAAGAAAUGGUUGUUGGAGCCGUUUCAGCUUUUGCAAUUGGUGAUUAUGAGUAUGUUGGUAUAAAUCUUGCAUUUGCUAGAGUCCUUGCUCACGGAGGUGGUGUCUUGCUCCUUCUGAAUCUCACGAAAUCUUGGAGGGGUUUCACAUUGAAGCUGUAGUGGUAUUGUUAGGGUUAUGUGGUUGUGUUUUUUAAAGUUUUGACAUAACUCAUCAGAUAGAUUUUGUAUAUUGUCAUUUGAAAGUAAUAUAUUUAUGUAGGUUAUUAUCUUAGUAAAACAAUUAAAUUGACAUCUAUAUAGAUUUAUUGGGCUAACUCUUCUGUCUCGUGUCAUAAUAUUGCUUAUUUUGUGAUGUUUAGGCAAUGAGAAAUGUGUCAUAUUGUCCCGAGGUUAAAAAAGUUGGGGCAGAAGUUGGAGGAAUGGAUAUUCUAGUAAAUUUGGCAAGAUCCACGCACAAUUACCCUAAAGUACCACUGCUUCUUCAAGCUUAAGCCAUCCUUCUAAUAUUUUUUAAGGUUCAAAAGAAUGAAAAUGUUGCCUUCUUUUGCAAUGGCUCAAGCAAGUGCAACAUUUAUAACAACAUAUUCAUAAUCAGCAAAUCCAGAAGUUGAAAGUGUUGCAACAGCCAUUUCUUGAAUGUCUUCUUGUGUGCUCUUUGUUAAACUCAGUAAUAGUGCUACACCUGCGUUGGUCAAAUACCAAUGUAUACCUGCUUGAUCGCUUUUAGCAAACUGUAGAAGCGAACGGAAGAGUAUCAAUUCCGGCCAAAUCAUAAUCUCAUUUACGUUCUGAUCAUUAAUGUUUGAAUUCCUCCAGUUGGAGAAUACAAUUUCAAACAUUAAUUAUCAGUACCUAAAUGAGAUUAUGAUUUGGCCGGAAUGGAUUCACUUUCGUUCGCUUCUACAGUUUGCUAAAAGCCAUCAAACAGGUAUGCAUUGGUAUUGGACCAACGCAGGUGUAGCACUAUUGCUCAGUUUAACACAGAGCUCACAGGAAGAUGUUCAAGAAAUGGUUGUUGGAGCCGUUUCAGCUUUUACAAUUGCUGAUUAUGAGUAUGUUGGUAUAAAUCUUGCAUUUGCUGGAGUCCUUGCUCACUGAGGUGGUGUCUUGCUCCUUCUGAAUCUUGUGAAAUCUUGGAGGGGCUUCACAUUGAAGCAGUAGUGGUACUGUUAGGGUUAUGUGGUUGUGUUUUUUAAAGUUUUGACAUAACUCAUCAGAUAGAUUUUGUAUAUUGUCAUUUGAAAGUAACAUAUUUAAGUAGGUUAUUGUCUUAGUAAAACAAUUAAAUUGACAUCUAUAUAGAUUUAUUGGGUUAACUCUUAUUUCUCGUAUCAUAAUAUUGCUUAUUUGUUAUAUUUUGUGAUGUUUAGGCAAUGAGAAAUUUGUCAUAUUGUCCCGAGGUUAAAAAAGUUGGGGAAGAAGUUGGAGGAAUAAAUAUUCUAGUAAUUUUGGCAAGAUUCCCAUAUUGUCCCGAGGCUGCUAUAGUUUUGUCGAACAUUUUAACACAUAUUCUAGUAAAUAUUGUUAGAUAUAUUGUUAAUUCUGCUAUAAAUAUUGUUUGCUGUUAAUUUAGGAGCAAAUCCGGAAGGCGGGAGCUAGCUUAGGGGCCCGCCCCCUCCAAAAGCCAUGAGAGCUAGUCCGAUCAAUCUAGCUAGCAUCCUAUGACUUUAGUUCCAGAGGCAAAUAACUCGAAACUGAAUUGGAAGCUCUUUCUGUCUAUAGGUUUAUACCACUAAGUGAUGGCAUUAGACACUAACUACAUUGUUCCUGAUUGGAUUGCUUUGUCUUGAUUCUCCUAGUUACAUCUCCACUUAACUCCGCUAUCAAACUAGGGAUAUUUGAAGUGAGCCGAAUCUGUGGAGCGAUGACGGCUAACCCUACUCUGUUAAUCUGUUACUAAGCUGAAUCUGUGGACUGAGUCGCUAACUGCACUCUCUCUUGUCUUGAAAGAGGAACUCCAAAUUUAAAAUCCACAUAUAUACUUUCCUGUCAUAAUCUGAUAGCAUAUGGAGCUUUUACCAUGGUAGCUACUCACUCAUAACUCCCUCUAACGCAAGGAAGUAAUCCAAUCCCGGAAACGAAACUCUAAUUGCUAACUCCACAAGACACUCUUCCCACUUAAUGUCAAUUGUCUACUAUCAGUAUUGAUGGACUUCCCCAGUCCUUUACUUUUUACUUUAAGGCUUCGAGCGGAUAGGCAAUGAUAAUUGGGAGCCAAUAGACAAUAUGAACUAUGUAUCUAAGCCUAACAACAUUGCAUUCUAUACACUAUUUCUUUUAUCAUUCGUAUACUCACUUGCCAUAAGCAUAUAGAGCUAGUACAGCAAGUCUUGCUAUUGACUUUAUAUAGCUUAUAUAGUAGCUAUGCCAUAGUUCUUUCAUAACCUAGCUGUAAAGGGGAAUGAAGUGGUUUAGCUAUGCUCAUAACAGAGUCGAAUUAAGACCUUCUUUCUUUCUAGUGGUCAUUCGAGUUAGGCAGGUGGAGAAUUAUAAAAGAAGAAGAUGAAAAUAAAAAAUUUAGCAGGGAAAUACACAAGUCAAGCGUUGACCUCCUAUAACCAAAAUUCUGUCAGUUUUCUUUUUUUGCUGCUUUCUCUUAAUUUUCCUCUUCUGUUGUGUUUACCUUUCCCUAUAAUUUAAUAGCCUCAAAACUACGAACUAGUGGAGUCUGGUAGUAUGAAACCAGUGUUCAUGUCGUCAUGCACCAUUCUUUACAUCGACUUCACAGCUAAUGUUGCUGGUGCUACAGUGGAGAUGUUUUUUGCCGAGCUCAUAGCGUUUUCUGAUACGGAUAUAUCUGUCAGCCUUUGCAAAUCCAAGGGGCCAAUAGACUCUUUUUCAGCUGUGGAUGAAUUGAAUGGCUGCUGUUUUUGUGCCAGUUAUAACAAUGUUCAGCAUCCUGAAGAUGGAGGCGUCAUACGUGGCAGGGAUGCUUUACAAUACAGUUCAAGAUAUUAUGCGCCAUAAAUAUGACCAACACAAUUCUUGACGAGGACAGGCACUUGUGCAUGUAAGUAGUUAUUUAGCUCUUGGAGAUAAAAAAAAACAUAUGUCUAAAAAUGACAGCAGGACUUUUGAUUUGUAAAAACUAUAAGGCUAAAAUUCACCCCUUAGUCUCAUAACUUCUGCAUGAUAGAAAAGAAAAUAAAUCAUAGCACUUACUCUCUGGAGGGGCACGGUCUGCAUACAUCUUACCCUUCUCAGCCCCCACUCUAAGCGGGAUAUACCGGGUAUGUUUGGUUUGGUUUAAAAUAAAUUAUAUCACUUUUAUUGACCUGAGUAUUGCUCCAAGCCAAAUGAGUAGCUGUAUAUAGACAGAAUGAUGGGAAGAGGGGAAAACUAACAAUGUUGGUUCUUUGAUCAGGGAAGGAAUUAUAGUUCUUCAUCCACUGACAUUACGUAUGUGUUUCGUCCUAUCUCCAAAUGUUUGUGUUUAAAGGAUGUGCCAUCCAUUUGUAAGCUUAACAUCAAUGGAUAUGGGGUUUUGAAAUCCUGCAUAAUUGAGUUUUAUAAUAUGUACUCAUAUUUUGAUUGGUUUUUCUGCCUGUUAUUUAUAUCAUGGGUUUACCUGCUGUUAGUUCCUCGGUUCUAUUUAUCUGCCAAAUGAUAUGUACACACUUCGUGUUUUUGCCAAUGUUGCGGUUUGCAUAUUAUAAUAAUAACUUUUGCCUUCUACUCCCUUUGGCUAUGAGCCCUAAUCAAUUGAUGAAUGACCAUGGAAAACAUACCUGAGUACUAAACUUCCAUACCCCUGCCAACCCCGAGACCAAGCUCUCUGCUGUAUAUUUGUAUUUAUAUUCUGUCUCGGUAAAUGUUUUGUUUAUAGGCCAAAGGACAGCAAGCACUUGGCCACUUAGGUUGGGUUGACGCAUCUCUUCAUCAUAAACUGAAUAAAAUUUCAAUGUAGUUGCUCAAACUUUUUAGUGAUACCGUUUCAUACAUCUUAACUUUAACCAUGCUCCUGAACCCCAAAAGGGAAGGUGAGUACACAUCAGCACAAGUUAAUGAUGCAAGGCUGUACGCAACUGAAGCCGUUUUACAACCAAUCAAGGGUCAGUUUCCUUCUGAAUGUUAUUGUUUGCUCUUAAUCAAUCAUCUCUGGUAUCGUCUCUGAUGGUGGAGCCAGGGUUCAUUAUACGUGUGAUCCUGCCAACAUGCUCACUUUUCCAUAUCAAAUUCACGGCUAAGAAGAGUAAUGUUGCUCCAGAGGAGAUUUUUUCGCUGAACUGACAAGCACCAACGGGUUCUUUCUUUCAGCAUUUGCGUAUGCAUGGGUCAAAAAGACUCCAUUUCAGGAGAUAAAUUAAGAGGCUGCCAUCAUUGCCGCAAGUAUAACAGCGUGCAGCAUCCUAGAGGUGGAAAAUUCGUAUGUGGUGGUGAUUUAUUGUUCAAGAAAAUGCCAGGGAAGACGCUGGAUCCUCUUUUGGCUGAGUAUUCAAGUGUUCAUAAUGCAUAUGACCGAAGACAACAAGGGGUCUGUUGAAUUUCAAGUAGGGGUCGCUAAUAAGAGAUGCAACUCACUCGAACUUAUUCACAUCUUGCUGAGCUUUAGCACCUGAGACAUUAUAUUUAGAACUCUAUAGCUACUCUCCGCUGCUCUGCUUUGGGUGCGAAGUGGAACCUUUUAUUUGAUUUUUAUUGUGAAGUUGGGCUGUUUAUGAACCUUAUUUAUGGUUUGUACUUGGACAUGACACAAGUUAAGCUAAACUUCGACACGUAUCAAAAGUAUGCUCUACCUUGCAUUGCCAAAC
Molecule: long non-coding RNA, 5930 nt
Organism: Daucus carota subsp. sativus
Lineage: Eukaryota; Viridiplantae; Streptophyta; Magnoliopsida; Apiales; Apiaceae
Exons: 3
Source: RefSeq, a predicted model, not a curated record